GCCUAUAGCCAUGCUACCCUGAACAAGUCCGAUUCUGUCUGAUCUCAGAAGCUAAGCAGGGUUGGGCCUGGUUAGUACUUGGAUGGGAGACCACCUAAAAAGACCAGGUUCUGUAGGUG
This 119-nucleotide ribosomal RNA is filed under the name Pteropus alecto (black flying fox). Lineage: Eukaryota; Metazoa; Chordata; Mammalia; Chiroptera; Pteropodidae. The record is from RNAcentral.